AUGAGGUUCACAUGUUUUUUUCUUUGUGACUUCGCUAGAGCUGCUUGGUUUUCUCAUCCUUGGUUCAUCAGAACAGAUGCUUUAGUUCAGAUCUAUACCAAUAUCCAUAGUAUAAUUCUUACUUUACUUAAUAUGAACCAUCCGCAUGCUUCUGUUGUCAACAUUCUAAAUUUUAUGUGGUGUCUUUGGAAAGCGAGAAAUGAUUAUCUUUUUAAUAGAAAGAAAGCUACCCCUCACCAAGUUAAUAUUGCUGCUACUUCUCUAUCUAAUGAUUUCUGUGAUCUGCUUAACAGUUCUUCACACCAUCAGCCUCAAAACUCCAGUUGUAUCUUAACCCAUACUAAUCAACUUCCCUUGCAGGGACAAACGCUUAAAUCAGAUCUUCUUAUCACGGGACCGAAAGUAUAUACUGAUGCAUCUUUUAAGUGCAAAAAAAUUCCAGGUUUAUUGCAGGGAACAGCAGCCACUGGAGUUGGUAUCUACAUUUCUUUGCCGCGCGAUCAGAAGGAAGUCAGCGUGCAGAUUUAA
This 528-nucleotide ribosomal RNA is filed under the name Triticum aestivum (bread wheat). RNAcentral's name for it is "partial small subunit ribosomal RNA". Lineage: Eukaryota; Viridiplantae; Streptophyta; Magnoliopsida; Poales; Poaceae. The record is from RNAcentral.